CUUGUGGGUGUCCAGGCGCCAGAUCGAGACCGUUCGUGUCUCGCUGGUAGCUCAUGGGUGGAACAUUGACAUUGGUGCAGCUGGAACCGGUGGGGUCCUAGUACGUCGUUCGCAAGAACGACUGGAACGGGCUUGAUCGGGGAGGGUUGCACGUGCACGCUGUUGGGUCCUGAGGGACCGGGCCGGCGCCGUGAUGGUGCUGGGCUGAACCUCUGGACCCUUUCGUCGUUGCCUUUCGGGGUGCGGCGGGGGGUACCGCCCGUACUUUGAGAACUACACAGUGGACGCGAGCAUCUUAGAUUCAGGCCUUCGUGCCUGGAUCACAAAAGAUCUGACUGCAUCUCUUCGGAGAUGUGUAGAUCAUUGGUCAAUCUCGGUACUUCGGUACCGCGAUCGAUUCAUACUCAUGUGAU
RNAcentral lists this unclassified non-coding RNA (413 nucleotides) under uncultured Microbacteriaceae bacterium. Its description in RNAcentral is "partial 16S-23S ribosomal RNA intergenic spacer". Lineage: Bacteria; Bacillati; Actinomycetota; Actinomycetes; Micrococcales; Microbacteriaceae. The record is from RNAcentral.